Molecule: long non-coding RNA, 273 nt
Filed under: dengue virus type 1
Lineage: Riboviria; Orthornavirae; Kitrinoviricota; Flasuviricetes; Amarillovirales; Flaviviridae
Description: dengue virus type I sfRNA3
Rfam family: Flavivirus 3' UTR cis-acting replication element (CRE) (bases 181-273)
Source: RNAcentral
ACCCGGGAGGCUGCAACCCAUGGAAGCUGUACGCAUGGGGUAGCAGACUAGUGGUUAGAGGAGACCCCUCCCAAGAUACAACGCAGCAGCGGGGCCCAACACCAGGGGAAGCUGUACCCUGGUGGUAAGGACUAGAGGUUAGAGGAGACCCCCCGCACAACAACAAACAGCAUAUUGACGCUGGGAGAGACCAGAGAUCCUGCUGUCUCUACAGCAUCAUUCCAGGCACAGAACGCCAGAAAAUGGAAUGGUGCUGUUGAAUCAACAGGUUCU